CCUACGGGAGGCUGCAGUGGGGAAUAUUGCACAAUGGGGGAAACCCUGAUGCAGCGACGCCGCGUGAGUGAAGAAGUAAUUCGUUAUGUAAAGCUCUAUCAGCAGGGAAGAAAAUGACGGUACCUGAGUAAGAAGCCCCGGCUAACUACGUGCCAGCAGCCGCGGUAAUACGUAGGGGGCAAGCGUUAUCCGGAUUUACUGGGUGGAAAGGGAGCGUAGACGGCAGGGCAAGUCUGGAGUGAAAGGCGGGGGCUCAACCCCCGGACUGCUCUGGAAACUGUACGGAUGGAGUGCAGGAGAGGUAAGUGGAAUUCCUAGUGUAGCGGUGAAAUGCGUAGAUAUUAGGAGGAACACCAGUGGCGAAGGCGGCUUACUGGACUGUAACUGACGUUGAGGCUCGAAAGCGUGGGGAGCAAACAGGAUUAGAUACCCCAGUAGUC
Molecule: ribosomal RNA, 440 nt
Filed under: uncultured bacterium
Lineage: Bacteria
Description: partial 16S ribosomal RNA
Rfam family: Bacterial small subunit ribosomal RNA
Source: RNAcentral